This is a non-coding RNA of Paramuricea clavata, 298 nucleotides long. NCBI's taxonomy places the organism in Eukaryota, Metazoa, Cnidaria, Anthozoa, Malacalcyonacea, Plexauridae. The record is from the annotation of a GenBank genome assembly.
CGAACAAAAUACAGCAGGUCUGACCGCGGGAAAAUGUCACGUGGUAUUUUUGAGGUUUGCGGUUUGCAGUUAAACGAUGUAAACGUGAAGCUAAAUGUCCCUAAUGUCCAAAUGCACUGCUCUCGUUACACAACAUGUGUAAAGGCAUACCCACACCUUUUCGCUCUUCUCGUGUGUUCGAACAUAGAGCGGACCAAGGAAAUCAAUUCCUGUUGCUGUGAAAGGUGGUGUUUCUCGUACUCGAAAUUCGGGUAGGGGAGGUGGUGGUGGAGCUUGAUAGGGUUUGCCUUCGAAUCUC